This 28-nucleotide small RNA is filed under the name Bombyx mori (domestic silkworm). RNAcentral's name for it is "piRNA piR-bmo-1624944". The record is from RNAcentral. Lineage: Eukaryota; Metazoa; Arthropoda; Insecta; Lepidoptera; Bombycidae.
UAGGUUUGUGGACAUCAUAAUGAGCCUC